AACGUAGGACGCAAACGUUAUCCGGAAUUACUGGGCGUAAAGAGCGUGUAGGCGGAUGAGUAAGUUGUCCGUGAAAGCUCCCGGCUAAACUGGGAGAGGUCGGAUAAGACUGCUGAUCUAGAGGGUGUUAGAGGGGUGCGGAAUUCCGGGUGUAGUGGUGAAAUGCGUAGAGAUCCGGAGGAACACCAGAGGCGAAGGCGGCACCCUGGGACAUACCUGACGCUGAGACGCGAAAGCAUGGGGAGCGAACGGG
Molecule: ribosomal RNA, 253 nt
Filed under: uncultured bacterium
Lineage: Bacteria
Description: partial 16S ribosomal RNA
Rfam family: Bacterial small subunit ribosomal RNA
Source: RNAcentral